UACGAAGGGGGCUAGCGUUGUUCGGAAUCACUGGGCGUAAAGGGUGCGCAGGCGGGUUCAUAAGUCAGGGGUGAAAUCCCAAGGCUCAACCUUGGAACUGCCUUUGAUACUGGAAAUCUUGAGUCCGGGAGAGGUGAGUGGAACUGCGAGUGUAGAGGUGAAAUUCGUAGAUAUUCGCAAGAACACCAGUGGCGAAGGCGGCUCACUGGCCCGGUACUGACGCUGAGGCGCGAAAGCGUGGGGAGCAAACAGG
RNAcentral lists this ribosomal RNA (253 nucleotides) under uncultured bacterium. RNAcentral's name for it is "partial 16S ribosomal RNA". It matches the Rfam family "Bacterial small subunit ribosomal RNA", at positions 524 to 776 of the family's 1533-position model. The record is from RNAcentral.